UGCAAUGGAAAUUUUGCCAUUUUCCCUAAAAUUGGUGGUGUGAAGGCUGCUGCUCCAGGAAAACCCCACAGCUGGGGAUGGGCAACUCUACUCAAUGGGAUCUUCUUUGGUUUGAUAUUCCCAUUGUUUUCUCAAUUCUGGGAAGCCUAGUACAAUGGUACUAAUGUAAUCACCGAAGCCUUUUCUUAAAAUAAGGGAAGGGGCCAACCCUGGAUUAAAGUUACAAGUUCUGGGGACUUGGGGGGUUUGCAACAAACCCUAACAAUGGGUUUUGGUUCAUCAUGUAAAUGCAACUUUGGGGAGCCCUGGCUCCAGAGAGGGAGUCACUCUCCAGCAGUGGAACGCUGGGAUCGUUUGCUCUAGCGUGUUCCCUUGGGAAGUCUUGGUUUGCUGUUAAUCUGGCUGAGAAUCUAAGUUCUGUGCCUUAGAGACAAUUUGCACUUUCCCAAAUUGUGCCUGGGACAGCCAUAUGAUUUUUCCCA
RNAcentral lists this long non-coding RNA (482 nucleotides) under Bos taurus (domestic cattle). RNAcentral's name for it is "long non-coding RNA NONBTAT002813". Lineage: Eukaryota; Metazoa; Chordata; Mammalia; Artiodactyla; Bovidae. The record is from RNAcentral.